This 375-nucleotide ribosomal RNA is filed under the name uncultured bacterium. RNAcentral describes it as "bacterial SSU rRNA". It matches the Rfam family "Bacterial small subunit ribosomal RNA", at positions 521 to 896 of the family's 1533-position model. The record is from RNAcentral.
UAAUACGUAGGGUGCGAGCGUUAAUCGGAAUUACUGGGCGUAAAGCGUGCGCAGGCGGUUUUGUAAGCCAGAUGUGAAAUCCCCGGGCUCAACCUGGGAAUGGCGGUGGAAACUGGCGAGCUAGAGUGUGUCAGAGGGGGGUGGAAUUCCACGUGUAGCAGUGAAAUGCGUAGAGAUGUGGAGGAACACCAAUGGCGAAGGCAGCCCCCUGGGAUAACACUGACGCUCAGGCACGAAAGCGUGGGGAGCAAACAGGAUUAGAUACCCUGGUAGUCCACGCCCUAAACGAUGUCAACUAGGUGUUGGGGGAGCAAUCUCUUGGUACCGCAGCUAACGCGUGAAGUUGACCGCCUGGGGAGUACGGUCGCAAGAUUA